UAAGCCGUGAGGAAGGUGGGGACGACGUCAAGUCAUCAUGGCCUUUAUGCCCAGGGCUACACACGUGCUACAAUGGUGCAUACAGAGGGCAGCCAGCCUGCGAAGGUGAGCGAAUCUCAGAAAGUGCAUCUCAGUUCGGAUCGGAGUCUGGAACUCGACUCCGUGAAGUUGGAAUCGCUAGUAAUCGCGUAUCAGCCAUGACGCGGUGAAUACGUUCCCGGACCUUGUACACACCGCCCGUCAAACCAUGGGAGCCGGAAGUGCCUGAAGACGGUGGCAAUAAAAUGAGCUGUCUAGGGUAAAGUCGGUAACUGGGGUUAAGUCGUAACAAGGUAGCCGUACCGGAAGGUGCGGCUGGAAUACCUCCUUU
RNAcentral lists this ribosomal RNA (370 nucleotides) under Neolewinella antarctica. RNAcentral's name for it is "bacterial SSU rRNA". It matches the Rfam family "Bacterial small subunit ribosomal RNA", at positions 1158 to 1533 of the family's 1533-position model. The record is from RNAcentral. Lineage: Bacteria; Pseudomonadati; Bacteroidota; Saprospiria; Saprospirales; Lewinellaceae.